RNAcentral lists this transfer RNA (76 nucleotides) under Bacillota bacterium. Its description in RNAcentral is "Firmicutes bacterium (sediment metagenome) tRNA-Met". It matches the Rfam family "tRNA". From Rfam's summary of the family: Transfer RNA (tRNA) molecules are approximately 80 nucleotides in length. Their secondary structure includes four short double-helical elements and three loops (D, anti-codon, and T loops). Further hydrogen bonds mediate the characteristic L-shaped molecular structure. tRNAs have two regions of fundamental functional importance: the anti-codon, which is responsible for specific mRNA codon recognition, and the 3' end, to which the tRNAs corresponding amino acid is attached (by aminoacyl-tRNA synthetases). tRNAs cope with the degeneracy of the genetic code in two manners: having more than one tRNA (with a specific anti-codon) for a particular amino acid; and 'wobble' base-pairing, i.e. permitting non-standard base-pairing at the 3rd anti-codon position. The record is from RNAcentral. Lineage: Bacteria; Bacillati; Bacillota. RNAcentral also lists the same sequence under 4 other names.
GGCGGCGUAGCUCAGAGGUCAGAGCACGCGGCUCAUACCCGCGGUGUCGUGGGUUCGAGUCCCACCGCCGCCACCA